This 2045-nucleotide long non-coding RNA is filed under the name Triticum aestivum (bread wheat). RNAcentral's name for it is "long non-coding RNA (TAES_LNC003075)". Lineage: Eukaryota; Viridiplantae; Streptophyta; Magnoliopsida; Poales; Poaceae. The record is from RNAcentral.
AGUAGCUGAUAUAUUUAUAAUGGUUAUCCAGCAGUGGUAAUACAAAUGAUCAGUAACGGUAGCUAUUUUAUAUGAACGGUACUGCUAGUAGAUUUAUAGCGGUUAUCCAGCAGCGGUGAUACAGAUGAUGGAUCUUUUCAAACAUUAGCUGGGCAUAUAUAUCAUCAUGGAUAGAUACUUGAUUACAUAUAAAACACAUGACCACAAAGGGAUGUUUAGCACAUAGAUGAUUACAAAAAUCUGAAGUCUAUUGAUGUCUUAUUGUUCAGAGCAGGAACAAAAGGGUUAGGGCAUCAUUGGAACUAAACAUGGAGUAUACUGCAGACGAAACAAAAAGUGGCUUCUCCAGGGGUCACACAUGCAUUGUAGGUAAGACAGAUCCAACAAAGAUAAUUAGAAACGGCCUUUCAUAGUUUCCAGGCGUUGUUCUAACUUCAUACCUAUGAAGCGUAAUUCUUUGCCAAUUCCUCAAUGCCUAUAAGUGCUGCUAUCAUAACUCCUUUGGUGUCAUCUUGUCCUUUUAGGUGGCGAACAGUUGUCGUGUUCUGCAGAAAACAAAAGGGCAGAAGUUGAUGUGACAUAACACAUAACACAUAACAUGUGAAUAAAGAUGACAUCCUUGUGGCACUCAAAGAAAUAGUGCUCAUAUGGUUAAUUUAAAUACUUAAUCGUAUCCAACUCCCACCGUUCCUAAAUAUAAGUCCUUUUAGAGAUUUCAAUGCGGACUACAUACAGAACAAAAUAAGUGAAUCUACAUUCUAAAAUAUGUCUAUAUACAUCCAUAUGUAAUUUGUAUUGGAAUCUCUAAAAAGACUUCUCCUCAUCAAGAAGAUCACAUACACUUUAUCUAUCCUGUACAAUGAGCAUAGGACAAGCUCAGCUAGUGUAACUACCAAUUAGCUAUGUGAUGAUCAGCUUAUAAGAAAAUCAACUUUGAUUAUGUGUCUUGCGCCAAGACUACUCCAGAAACAUGCAUGUUGAAUGAAAUGAACAAACAAAUAGCCAAAAGACCAUUGGCUAUCCUUGACUGGCUAGUUGACUAAAUGGCUCAGGAAAAUAAAUUGUCAUGACAUAUUAUAAAUAAUAAAAAGGCAAAAGGCCACAAUAUGUGGUACAUAAUGUUCACAGUCCAUCGGCUUCACCAAACACUAAAAAGGGGUAAGCAUAAAUACACCUCGCUAAUCCCAUGGAGGCACUUCUCACAAAAAAAGGCAAAUGAAUGAAAACAGACAGGUAUCUUGUUUUCCUAGACUGUUGCAUGCAUGGCGAAAUGACUAUAGCAAAAAGAUGUGUGCUAUAGAUUUGAAGAAAAUACGGGUUCGCCUGUGAGGAAUAUACUAAAAGUCUACAACAAUAAUCAUAGUGAGGUAAUCAAGAAAAUAGUGCAAAUGCCUGAAUCUGAUAUGCUAUAGAACUCAUCCUUCCAUAUAUAGUUUUCCUAUCUUCCAUGUGGAAGAGAUUAAGGUAAAUACUAACAGUUCGAAUUUGUUUUAGAAUAUAGGAGAGGCAUAUAUAAGUAAACUAAAAGGAAAAACCUACACACACAUGGUGCAACACCAGUCAUGCUAUUUAUUUCAAGCACAAUGGUAAAUACUAACUUGCCAAACCUCAUAUCUUUACUAACUAUGAUACUGAAGAAGAAGUUACUGAAGAACAAACUAAUCAUUCCAGUGCUACAUAAUCAUGAAAAGGAAAAAAAGGGCAGCCCCAGUGCAUGUAGCUCCCGCUUGCGCAGGGUCUGGGGAAGGGUCCGACCACUUUGGGUCUAUUGUACGCAGCCUUUCCCUACAUUUCUGUAAGAGGCUGUUUCCAGGACUUGAACCCGUGACCUCAUGGUCACAAGGCAGCAGCUUUACCACUGCGCCAAGGCUCCCCUUCGCACAUAAUCAUGAAAAGGAACUGUGAUGAAAACCCAGGUAAAAAAGUAUGUAAGAUAUAACAAAAAGGGAGGCACACAUGAAUCAUUUCUUCUGUUGGAGGCAAAGAAUCUAAGGCCUUAUACCUCUAUCCCCAAUUCUUUCUCUCUUUAUCAGAAUAUAACUAAG